AGCGAACGCUGGCGGCAGGCCUAACACAUGCAAGUCGAACGAACCUUUCGGGGUUAGUGGCGGACGGGUGAGUAACACGUGGGAACGUGCCUUUAGGUUCGGAAUAACUCAGGGAAACUUGUGCUAAUACCGAAUGUGCCCUUCGGGGGAAAGAUUAAUCGCCUUUAGAGCGGCCCGCGUCUGAUUAGCUAGUUGGUUGAGGUAAUGGCUCACCAAGGCGACGAUCAGUAGCUGGUCUGAGAGGAUGAUCAGCCACAUUGGGACUGAGACACGGCCCAAGCUCCUACGGGAGGCAGCAGUGGGGAAUCUUGCGAAAUGGGCGAAAGCCCGACGCAGCCAUGCCGCGUGAAUGAUGAAGGUCUUAGGAUUGUAAAAUUCUUUCACCGGGGAAGAUAAUGACGGUACCCGGAGAAGAAGCCCCGGCUAACUUCGUG
RNAcentral lists this ribosomal RNA (434 nucleotides) under uncultured bacterium. RNAcentral describes it as "partial 16S ribosomal RNA". It matches the Rfam family "Bacterial small subunit ribosomal RNA", at positions 29 to 507 of the family's 1533-position model. The record is from RNAcentral.